RNAcentral lists this long non-coding RNA (250 nucleotides) under Chelydra serpentina (North American snapping turtle). RNAcentral describes it as "lncRNA (ENSCSRG00000016788.1)". The record is from RNAcentral. Lineage: Eukaryota; Metazoa; Chordata; Testudines; Chelydridae.
UAUAAAUACUGUUAUUCAUUACUAGUCUGCUAUCUGAGCUAUUUGUGUUACUGUACCUGCAGGGACAAAAAGGAGAGCCUGGAGUGGUGCCAGUUGUUACAGGAAUACGAGGCCGCACAGGACCAUCAGGACCUCCAGGCUCACAAGGACCAAGAGGAGAACGAGGACCUAAGGGGAGACCUGUAAGUUGCUAAAUGCUGUUCCUAGAAGCUCACUUAAUCAGUAUUCAAAUGCCGGGCUGACCUCAAAG